Molecule: ribosomal RNA, 259 nt
Filed under: uncultured bacterium
Lineage: Bacteria
Description: partial 16S ribosomal RNA
Rfam family: Bacterial small subunit ribosomal RNA
Source: RNAcentral
UGGCGGACGGGUGAGUAACGCGUGGGUAACCUGCCCUGUACAGGGGGAUAACAAUCAGAAAUGACUGCUAAUACCGCAUAAGACCACAGCACCGCAUGGUGCAGGGGUAAAAACUCCGGUGGUACAGGAUGGACCCGCGUCUGAUUAGCUGGUUGGUGAGGUAACGGCUCACCAAGGCGACGAUCAGUAGCCGGCCUGAGAGGGUGAACGGCCACAUUGGGACUGAGACACGGCCCAAACUCCUACGGGAGGCAGCAUG